Molecule: long non-coding RNA, 7062 nt
Filed under: Mytilus galloprovincialis (Mediterranean mussel)
Lineage: Eukaryota; Metazoa; Mollusca; Bivalvia; Mytilida; Mytilidae
Source: RNAcentral
GAAGAGUUCAUAUGCAGUUAAUUUUGAUUGAGGUAUGCACUUUGUUUUAAUUGUUUCCUGUUAAAUAUACAUUCAAGUUGAAUAAGAUUACACAAACAAAAAUAUCAAAGACAGACACACACACACACAUACACGCACCAAUGUCUUGAGUUUUUUAUUUGUCUUAUCAACUUUCGUUUUGUGUAUUUCACAAUAUUUUUAUGUUUAAACAUGUUGAAUGUAUUACUAUUUUUUUGUUAUUUAAUAAAUUUGGGUUACCUAUAGCUAGAUUCUUUUUUCGUUAUUAACACUGCUGCAUGUAAUAUUGUAAUAAAAAUUCAUAAUAUCUAAUAAAAUUUGUAGAUUGCUAACAAUCCUUAUAUUUGUAUAAAGUAAUAUUCGUUUAUUAUAGUGGAAAAUUGUUUUAACUUCAAAUAAGCUACAACUAAUAAUUGCUUCCUAGUCCCUCUCUGUGCUUCAUAGUAGAUAACUCUGGUUAAUUUCCCAAUCAAUCUACCAUGAAGGGGAGAUAAAUAAUUCGUCUUUCAUUUAUAGUCUUUUUCAUCAAUGAUGAACGGUUCUUUAUAGUGGUAUGUAAUCAUUUUAAAUGUUUAAAAUCUAUGAAAUUAUAUUCGUACAUCAAUGUAUUUGAUACACCAAUAACAAAAACUAAAUCAUAUUGAACAUGUUGAAUUGAUACAUUUUGUCAUUAUUCAAAAUCAAAUCAGAAACUUAAACUUAAUUAUAAAAUAAUGAAUCUGUUAAAGGGAGACAAUUAAUGUAUAGAAUAACCCACGGUAAACAAUAUUUCUUUGAAUUUUUUUGAAUUUUUUCGAGCCACUUGACUUUCAUAGCUCAUAAUUAAUAUUUUUAAACAAUAUAUUUUAAUAAAGUAGUUAAAGACUAUUUGCUUCUCAAAUUGUAAGACGCAAUACAAAUCGUAUGCUUGCAUCAACUUACCCAAAAACAGUUUUAUUAAAGUCCUGAACAUCUCGACAUUGUUUUGUUUAUUUCUAUCAAAUUAAUCAAUACCGGUUUUAACAAAUCACAAGUUCAUGUUAAGAUCCGAAAAAAAUACCUUUAUCUUACCUCCUAUACAUUUCUAGGAAUGUGAUUGGUUAAAAGCGUCCUCGUGGAAACCGUGUAUAUUCCAUAUUAGGUUAGUUGGGAGGCGGGGCUUAUUCCAUACACGGUUAGUAGUGGAGUUACGUCCCUUUAUAUUCCAUAUAAGGUAAUAAGGAGGCGGGGCUUAUUUCAUACACGGUUAAUAGUGGUGUUACGUCCCUUUAGAAAAACAAAACAGUACUGAGAAAAAAUCUUAAAGGUUUCAAUAGACGAAGAAAGUGAUGAUAAAGUGAAAUAAAUUCAGAAAACACAUUUAAAUCUAACAAGUUGUCAUUGUUGGCAUCAUGUUAAUGCUAACUGUAUUGAAGACUUGCUAAUUUUGAUAGGUCACUAGUCUAAAUUUUACACGUUAAGAUAGUCGGUAAGAUAAAUUCGUUACAUAGUGUGCUAGUGACGUAAUACGGUAUAUAUGGGGUCAGUAAAUUCCAUAUAUUCGCUCUCACCCCAUAUGGAAUUUACUGACCCAUAGGAUCCGAGCUUCGUUCUCACCCCAUAUGGAAUUUACUGAUCCCAUAUAUACCGUAUUAGGUCACUAGCACACUAUGUAACUAAUAAUAUCCAGUUAUCACCAGGAAAAUACGCUACACUGCAUAUAAAAAGUAUAAACCAUACUACCCAUUUAAUUAUUCUAUAUCAUGGAAUACAUUUUUUUAUUACAAAUCUGAGGAAUAAGUAAUUUGCAGAAUUCGUCAUCAUGAACUAAAUUCGUCACGGUACGGAUCCAAUUUGUUAGUACGGAUUUAAUCCGAUAGUACGGAUUCAAUUCGCUACCAUGCAUGGAUAAAACAUCGUGAUCACAAGUUGUAUAAUUCGUUACAAAAAAGCACAAAUACUGAAUAAAACUUACCACAAGACUAACAAUCCUCAACUUGCAACGCCUCUCCGUAGACAAAAAGAGGACUACUGGAUUCGACAAUUGGGAACUGCGACACCAUAUGGUUGCAAUGACAAAAUUGAUGGUAUAUGUAUUCUAUCUAGUCCUUCCUCUUGCUUGGUGAAUGUGAUGAAUAUGUUCAACUCUACUCCUCGACGUAGACGCAGUCAUGGUCAUUGUCAUUAUACAUCACAUGUCUCUAUUAAUGACUUGCUGCCAUUUAUACAAAAACCGCAAGGUAUUCAUCACAUUCGCACGAAACUUUAUUCAUUACCCCUUUCAAAAUUUCAUUCCCUGUUCAAUUUAUGCUUGGAAACCACUGUAACAAACCCUCAUUCAAACCAAUAUCAACUUACAGCUAUCAUUUCGGAUAUUGCAAGUCACAGACUUUUCAAACCAGUUCGCAUCGGAAAAGAUGAAAAAGAGAAAAGAUAUUUUUUUUAAACUUUCCUUUGCCAACAAAGGUCUCGAUGGCGUCAACUUAGGCAAUAUCCUUCAUUAAAAUUUAGUUCAGUCGAAAAAAACUCCUUAUUUUAAAGAUCAGUCUGUACCAAUAAUUUCUCAUAACUAUACCAAACCAAUAGCAACUAAAAUUUUCAAUUACAAACACGUUUUGCAGGAUCUCAACAUUGACGUCUAAACCUCCUGAUUGCACCUGUGCUAGUUUCCAAUUCACAUAUACUCCGACUGGCCACGUUAUUACCGGAGACCUCAACAUUGUCAAUAACACUUCCCUGUGAAAUUUGUUAUCCAAAGGUCCGAAAUACGCGAGAAAGAAGACGUAGGUACUCUUUCCGAAUGGGUUAAGGCUAUGGGUUCGUUGAUUCAAAUCCGAAUUAAGAAACUAAAUGGGUCCAUCAAUACCCACGCUACUUUAAUGUUUAAUAAUUUUUUGCAAAACACUUGUCCUACCUCCAUUACAAGUAUGUUGUUGUCCCUACAGAUUAAGCCCCAAACAACAUCGUUUUUGUGUGUAAAUAUCAUUACAUAAACUGCUUGAUAAAUGAAUUAGGUAUUGACAAUUCACUUAGAAACUCAACAUAUACCCUCACGACACUUACCAAAGAGGAAAUCCUGGAUAAUCAUUGGUCUGUUCUAGUUUGUACUAGUUUGGCUUUAUAAAUAUUUUGAUAUGAGCGUCACGGAUGAGUCUUGUGUAGACGAAACGCGCGUCUGGCUUACUAAAUUAUAAUCCUGGUACCUUUGAUAACAAUUCUAUGUUCCUUUGGAAUUUCAACCAAUGAUGAAGAGCUGGAUUUUCCAUCACUGUAUUGUAUACCUAAAUUAUAUAGUUGUCCUUACAAACAACGAUAUAUUGCUGGGUCUUCCUACUGCUCCACGAAACUUCUCUCUUAAUUAUUAACAUCUACUUUAUCAGCAAUCAAAGCCGGGCUCCAAAGUUAUUGUAAAACUGCCUAUUCUAGAGGUGGCGUGAAUCAGAUGUGAAUACUAAUAAAAUCCAAAGAUCUUUUAGAGUACAUACAUUCUAAGACUCUCUCAUAUUGCAAAAGUAUUAAAACAUUUGACCUUUCUACACUUUACACAAGUAUUCCCCAUUCCAAACUAAAAGACACAUUGAGAGAGUUGGUAUUACUUUGUUUCAUUAAUAAGAAUGGCGAACGUAGAUACAAGUAUCUUGUCUUGGGGAGGGAUACAUCCUACUUUGUAAAGAGUCACUCUGAUUCAAACAAAAAAAUCUCUGAAACUGACAUUAUCAAGAUGCUUGAUUUCUUGAUUGACAACAUAUUUGUUACGUUUGGAGGACGUAUUUUUAAACAGACUGUCGGAAAUCCAAUGGCAACCAAUUGUGUCUAUCUUCUUGCCGACUUGUUUCUUUAUUAUUAUGAGACUGACUUACAGGAACUGCUUAGGAAAAAAGAUAAGAACUUAAUUUAGCAAUAUCCUUUAACUUUACGUUCCGCUAUAUAGAUGAUGUUCAAUCACUAAUAAAUACAAAAUUUGAUGACUAUGUGGAACAAAUCUAUCCCAUGGAACUAGAGUUAAAUUAUACUACAGAUACAGUUAAGUCGGCCUCAUAUCUUGACUUACAUCUAGAAAUUGACAAUGAGGGUCGAUUGAAAACAAAACAGAUGAUUUCAGCUUCCCAAUUAUGAACUUUCCAUUUCUAUCUAGUAACAUUCCAGCAGCACCUGCAUACGGAGUAUAUAUCUCCCAAUCGAUGCGAUAUUCCCGGGCUUGUAUUUCCUAUCAUGAUUUCCUUGAUAGAGGAUUGCUGCUCACAAGGAAUCAAACCAAUAGUUCCAAAUGGUGAAGUUAAAAUCAUCCCUUUGUAAAUUUUACGACGCCAUUACGAGUUGAUUGACCGUUAUGGAAUAACCAUUUUACAGAUGAUAUCGGAUAUGUUGCUUUUGUCGUAACUACAAUACCCUUCCUUUUUCACGAAUGUGAUCUUGAGGCUUUCGAAUUAGACUAAUUACCGGAUUUGUAAUAGAAGUAACAUAAUCAACACGACGGGUGCCACAUGUGGAGCAGGAUAUGCUUACCCUUCCGGAGCACAUGAGAUCACCCCAGUUUUUGGUAGGGUUCGUGUUGCUUAAUCGUUAGUUUUCUAUGUUGUGUUUUCUUUUGUAUUAUUAGUCUGUUUGUCUUUUAUUUUUAGCCAUGGUGUUGUCAGUUUAUUUUAAAUCCGAGUUUGACUGUUCCUCUGGUAUCUUUCGUCCCUCUUUUAAACUGACGAAUUGUAUUUCAGAUUAAAUUCGUUAUCGCGAUCAAAUCUGUAGAAAUUAUUCAACCCAUAUUUUUGUAAAUUGGUUAUCACAAUAACAAAUGUUUUCACAUAUUUUCUCCAAAUCGUCAUAUUAUAAAGAGUUUAUUCCAUUAAAAUAACACUUGCAAUGUGUGUUAUAUAUGUUACAGGACCAUGGCCAGUAAUUGGAGUAGUUGUGGUGUCUGUGACUAUCGUCAGGUUACCAAGCCAUCAGUAGUCUGGUGUUCCGAAUGUGACGAAGGACUAUGCGGGGAUUGUAAUGAACAUCACAGUAUUUCAAAGGGAACAAGAAACCACGAAACCGUUGCUAUCGCCGAAUACAAGAAGUUACCGAAAGAGAUUCUCCAAAUCGCCACGGUCUGUAAAAUACAUAACGAGAAAUACGAGCUUUUCUGUAGAAAACACGAUUGUCCAUGCUGUAAGAAAUGUGUGAAAUCUCACAACGACUGUAAAGGUUUAACCGACAUCAAUGAAAUCAUAAAAAACGUCAAAACUUCAAACGCCUUUUAUGAAAUCGAAGAAACUGUGCUAGAAGUAGCUGAAAAUAUUGAGAGGAUCAAAACUAAUCGAGAAAAUAACUUAACAUCGUUAGAAAAGCAAACAAGAGAAAUUAAGGAAGAAAUAAAACACACCAGGACAAAGAUUAAUCGUCAUCUUGAUAGUCUUCAGAAUGAUUUGUUGAAGGAAUUAAAAGCAGCUCAAGAAAAAGAGAACAGCAAAAUACAGAAAUUGUUAACUGAUUUAAAAAUAACGGAAAGAAAGAUCACAGAAUUCAAAGAAAACAUUAGUAAUAUCAAACAGCAUGCAUCCGAACUGCAAGCCUUUUUGGCCAUAAAACAUUUCGAAAAAGAAAUUUCCGAUGACGAAAAAAACAUUCAAUCUAUUAUCAACAGUGAUACCAUAAAUCAAGCCAAUAUUUCAUGCCAAUUUACUAAGUAUUUUGCGCAAAUCACACCCAGCGUACAGAAGUUUGGAGAAAUUAAUGUCAGUUCUGAUCCUUGCAAUUUUUCCAUUGAGACACGGAAGCAAAAACAAGCCCAGCUUAUGGUAGCUCUUCCGACUAAAAAUAUCGAUAACCUGACUCUGACGAUUCAGAAACGUAUCAAUACAGAUUUUUCAAAUGUCCAUGGCUGUUCACUGCUGCCUGUUGGAAAAAUGGUAUUCUCUUGUCUUGACCAAGAGAAAAUGAAAAUAUUCAAAUCUGACGGAUCAAAACAUUUUGAAAUCAUUAAGACCAGAUCUCCGUUUGAUGUUGUAUAUGUUGGCGAUGAUUCUAUUGCUGUUACAGUUCACAGCAGUUUAGGACAUAUUAUAACUAUAAUCGACAUAAAGAACAAAAAUCAAAAGAAAACAAUAAAAGUUAAUUCAGACACUGAUGGAGUAGUAUUCAAAGAGGGACAUUUGAUUUAUUGUGCCAGGGAGAAAGGACUACAGAUGCUUAGUCUUAGUGAUAAAUCCAUUACCAAUGUAAUCAAUACCAAACUCUCAGAUUUAGCGUACGUUACAGCAUUACGUGACAAACUUUUCUACACAAACCUUAACAAUCAUAGUGUAACAUGUUGCGAUUACCAUGGUAACAUACUGUGGACAUUCUGUGAUGAAAGUGUUCUGACUACUCCUCUCGGUAUCUCUGUAGAUAAUGAUGGUAACGUGUUUGUGGUGGGACAUAAUACUCACAAUGUUGUUGUCAUAUCUCAUGAUGGACAACGCUAUAGACAACUUUUGUCACGUGAUGAUGGGCUUGUAUUUCCACAGGUUCUGCACUAUGAUACAUCUAUCAAUAAAUUGUUAGUGGCAAAUCAAAACGGAACCGCAUUUUUGUACGAUGUUAAAUGAAACGUUGUGAUAUUUGAUAUUUCGAAUUCUAUGCGGGUCUAUUUUUAUAUGUGCGUCACCGAUUAGUCUUAUGUAGACGAAACGCGCGUCUGGCGUACUAAAUUAUAAUCCUGGUACCUUUGAUAAUUAUUUAGCUGAACAAAAUUAUUCAUUUUAUAAACGUAGCCACUAUUUAACAAACAUUUUAAAGGUUCUUUAAUAGAAACGUACAGACCAAUAACAAUAUUGGGAAUAAUUUUAACACGGGAUUUAUGUCUUUUGGAGAAUGCGUUGACUUGUACAUAAGUUUUACUCAUCAAGAGCUAUGAAAUAGUCAGAAUAACAGAAAAAAAACUAUUGAAUCGCACCUUGAGAAGAAAAAAAAGUACUUUUGAAAUGUGUUUGAUAGAUACAUUAGUAGAUGGCCAAUAAAAAAAAUAAACAGCAAUUUUCCUUUUAUAUCUAGAACUAUCCUAAUACCACUGGUAUUAAAGAGAUAAUCGUAACUGGAAUCACGACUAUCCCAAUAUUGCGACGGCAG